This 362-nucleotide unclassified non-coding RNA is filed under the name soil metagenome. RNAcentral's name for it is "partial contains 5.8S ribosomal RNA, internal transcribed spacer 2, and large subunit ribosomal RNA". The stretch from base 1 to 120 matches the Rfam family "5.8S ribosomal RNA", at positions 35 to 154 of the family's 154-position model. The record is from RNAcentral.
GAUUAAGAACGUAGCGAAAUGCGAUAAGUAAUGUGAAUUGCAGAAUUCAGUGAAUCAUCGAAUCUUUGAACGCACCUUGCGCUCCUUGGUAUUCCGAGGAGCAUGCCUGUUUGAGUGUCAUUAAUAUAUCAACCUUCUCUUUUUUGAGUUGUUUGGAUGUGGGGGUUUGCUGGCCUCUUAAAUGAUUCAGCUCCCCUGAAAUGCAUUAGCAGAACAACCUGUUCAUUAGCGUGAUAAUUAUCUAUGCUAUUGAAUGUGAGGGCAGUUCAGCUUUCUAACCGUCCUUGGACAAUUCAUCAUUAAUGUGACCUCAAAUCAGGUAGGACUACCCGCUGAACUUAAGCAUAUCAAUAAGCGGAGGA